Molecule: ribosomal RNA, 267 nt
Filed under: uncultured bacterium
Lineage: Bacteria
Description: partial 16S ribosomal RNA
Rfam family: Bacterial small subunit ribosomal RNA
Source: RNAcentral
GAUCCUGGCUCAGGAUGAACGCUAGCUACAGGCUUAACACAUGCAAGUCGAGGGGCAGCAUGACCUAGCAAUAGGUUGAUGGCGACCGGCGCACGGGUGAGUAACACGUAUCCAACCUACCGGUUAUUCCGGGAUAGCCUUUCGAAAGAAAGAUUAAUACCGGAUAGUAUAACGAGAAGGCAUCUUCUUGUUAUUAAAGAAUUUCGAUAACCGAUGGGGAUGCGUUCCAUUAGUUUGUUUGGCGGGGGUAAACGGGCCCCACCCAAA